GAUGAACGCUGGCGGCGUGCCUAAUACAUGCAAGUCGAGCGAACAGAUGAGGAGCUUGCUCCUCUGACGUUAGCGGCGGACGGGUGAGUAACACGUGGAUAACCUACCUAUAAGACUGGGAUAACUUCGGGAAACCGGAGCUAAUACCGGAUAAUAUAUUGAACCGCAUGGUUCAAUAGUGAAAGACGGUUUUGCUGUCACUUUUAGAUGGUUCCGCGCCGCAUUAGCUAGUUGGUAAGGUAACGGCUUACCAAGGCAACGAUGCGUAGCCGACCUGAGAGGGUGAUCAGCCACACUGGAACUGAGACACGGUCCAGACUCCUACGGGAGGCAGCAGUAGGGAAUAUUGCGCAAUGGGCGAAAGCCUGACGGAGCAACGCCGCGUGAGUGAUGAAGGUCUUCGGAUCGUAAAACUCUGUUAUUAGGGAAGAAAAAAUGUGUAAGUAACUAUGCACGUCUUGACGGUACCUAAUCAGAAAGCCACGGCUAACUACGUG
This 497-nucleotide ribosomal RNA is filed under the name uncultured bacterium. RNAcentral's name for it is "partial 16S ribosomal RNA". It matches the Rfam family "Bacterial small subunit ribosomal RNA", at positions 28 to 507 of the family's 1533-position model. The record is from RNAcentral.